Molecule: transfer RNA, 71 nt
Filed under: Camelus bactrianus (Bactrian camel)
Lineage: Eukaryota; Metazoa; Chordata; Mammalia; Artiodactyla; Camelidae
Also listed under: 2 other names
Rfam family: tRNA
About the family: Transfer RNA (tRNA) molecules are approximately 80 nucleotides in length. Their secondary structure includes four short double-helical elements and three loops (D, anti-codon, and T loops). Further hydrogen bonds mediate the characteristic L-shaped molecular structure. tRNAs have two regions of fundamental functional importance: the anti-codon, which is responsible for specific mRNA codon recognition, and the 3' end, to which the tRNAs corresponding amino acid is attached (by aminoacyl-tRNA synthetases). tRNAs cope with the degeneracy of the genetic code in two manners: having more than one tRNA (with a specific anti-codon) for a particular amino acid; and 'wobble' base-pairing, i.e. permitting non-standard base-pairing at the 3rd anti-codon position.
Source: Rfam by way of RNAcentral
GGGAGUAUAGCUCAGUGGUAGAGUGUGGACUUAGCAUGCACAAGGUCUGGGUUCAAUCCCUAGAACCUCUA